Long non-coding RNA from Magnolia sinica, 1324 nucleotides. RefSeq lists it as uncharacterized. Lineage: Eukaryota; Viridiplantae; Streptophyta; Magnoliopsida; Magnoliales; Magnoliaceae. The transcript has 3 exons. The record is from RefSeq and is a predicted model, not a curated record.
GAUCCGUUGGUCAAUCCUUUCUGAAAAACUAGAACCUUGCAAUAUUUUUCAUCACUGUCAUUCAUUUUCCAUUCUCACAAGUGUUGGCAAGUUUUUCUUGCUUUCCUGGUUCAUGCCCAUGGGCUAUGUCCGUUGCUAUCUUGUCAUGAAAUGCUUAUUAUCCUCAUGGAUGAUGUUAUAUGGUUUUUGUCGACUCUGACAGUUGCAUGUGGAAUGCGUCUUGAAUGGUUUCUUGUCUAUUUUUUGUUCUCAUCCUUCCUCCUUAGGAUGUGCCUGUAAUGACAUUGGUUUGCUUAAUCCACACAACUAUCCUUAUUGGAGGGGUGAACAGUUCCUUAAAGAUUAAUAUUUUAUUUUACUUUUUGGUUGAUUCACACUGCUGUUGUUUUCUGCUUGUGGUUGACCCAUUCAAGCUGCACUUUUCUUAUACAUGUGAUUGGUUUGGACAAAAUCAAUUUUGACCUGCUCUUAGAUGUUGUACCCGUGCUUUCUUUUAUUUCAUUACAUAUUUUCUUUUCCAAGAUUUUCGCAUGAUAUGGGUCAAAAACAUGUUUUUUGUUCUUUCUUCUAUCUCUAAGUUCUUCCAUUGAGGACCUAGUUCAUCUUGCUGAUCAUGGUAGUCUUGCCUAUGUCAGUCAAUUCCUUUCAAUAACAUAUUGCAAUUUCUAGGCAACCUCAUUGUAGUUUUCAUUGCUUCGUACCUCACAGGGCACCUGAACUUCUAUUGGGAGCAAAGCAAUAUUCAACAGCUAUUGACAUGUGGUCACUAGGUUGUAUAAUGGCAGAACUUUUAGCAAAGGAACUGUUAUUCAAUGGGAAAACUGAAUUUGAUCAGCUUGACAAGAUAUUCCGAACUCUGGGCACACCAAGCGCAAAGAUAUGGCCGGAGUUUGUUGAAUUGCCUGGGGUCAAGGUCCACUUUGUAAAGCAGCAGUAAGUACUUGUUCUCCCUGUUUCUGAUAUUCAUUCAAAUUCAUUAAGAGGCAUACUAGAUAUUUAGUUGUGUUCUUAUUCUCGCCACUGUUUUCCCAGGCUUCUACCUAUGGGUGAUGCUGGUCAGGCUUUCUAGUUUGCCUUGUUGGCAAUUUUUAGUUGCGCGGAUGUAGCUUAUGUUUGGAGUAACCACUGACCUGUUUUUUUCAGCGGAUAACAGCAGAAGCAGCAGAAGAUGGACGGGCAGUGUUAUCUCAGGGUCCGCCAAGCAUGACGACACCGGUGACGACGGGCGCGACCAUGACUUUGUAUUAUCUGUGGAAUCUAAUGUUGUGUAACAGUUUGAUUGAGUUAAACUUUAAAUAGACUGUUGUUAACUGUUUUGUUGGUA